UACGUAGGGGGCAAGCGUUGUCCGGAAUUAUUGGGCGUAAAGAGCGCGUAGGCGGUCCGAUAAGUCGGCUGUGAAAGUCAAGGGCUCAACCCUUGGAAGCCGGCCGAUACUGUCGGACUAGAGUCCGGAAGAGGCGAGUGGAAUUCCCGGUGUAGCGGUGAAAUGCGCAGAUAUCGGGAGGAACACCAAUUGCGAAGGCAGCUCGCUGGGACGGUACUGACGCUGAGGCGCGAAAGCGUGGGGAGCGAACAGG
Molecule: ribosomal RNA, 253 nt
Filed under: uncultured bacterium
Lineage: Bacteria
Description: partial 16S ribosomal RNA
Rfam family: Bacterial small subunit ribosomal RNA
Source: RNAcentral